Long non-coding RNA from Tigriopus californicus, 1545 nucleotides. RefSeq lists it as uncharacterized. The record is from RefSeq and is a predicted model, not a curated record. NCBI's taxonomy places the organism in Eukaryota, Metazoa, Arthropoda, Copepoda, Harpacticoida, Harpacticidae. The transcript is spliced from 2 exons.
UCCUGAAGUUCCUGCCCUUAUUCGGCACUUUAUUAUCGCAAAAUAAUCAGCUGAUCCCGCUCUCGACUCUCUGAAUGAAGUGACAUGAUUAGUCAGUAUUGUGUGUACGUAUUUUCGUGGAAACAUUCCUCUUCUUGGGAUUUGCCCUCUCACCUUACGUUACGGAUGCUUGAUUGAGACUGAAAGGACAAUGAACGUCGUUCCAUGUCUGCCUGGUUUAAGCUAUGACUACGACAUCGACAUCCAUACGAAUUAGAUCUAGACCUUUCGUCUGAACAAGGGUUUGGUGAGAUUCAUUCUCGUUCUCAAUGCUCUUGGGGACUCCUGAAACUCGUGACAGUCACGUCCUUCUCAAUGAAUGCGAUCGAUUCGUUCCCUUUGAAAAAGUACUCUGAGCAAAGUCCAUAGGUCAAAACCAUGUUGAAUGGAGUGUGCCAGAGAUAUUUGCUUAGAAACUUGAACACAUCCAUCAAUCAGCCCUACAUGCGAAUGGUCUCGGGGAAAUUAUCAGGCCUGAAAUUGGUCGCAAAAAUCAGUGAUCACUCAGACAACCCUUUCUUUGCCUCACACUUUUGCACAUCAUGGGACUUUCUCAAUGAAGUGAAUCCCAACUCACAACUUUGUUCACGAUGAUUUUUUCGGGAACUGGGCGAAACCAAUGGAGGAUUGGAACUCCCGGUACUAUUACAUGUCUAUAUAGUAGUAGUAGUAGUAGUAGUGUACCUCUACAUGAAUUAGCUCUUCUUGCAUCACUCGAUUCACAGACACAAAUAUACAUUGCAUGAAGCCAAAAAAGGGGCUCGCUUGGCUGCAUGUAGCUAGGAUUUCUUAUUUCAGGUCGACGCCAAUGUCAAGUGACUUUCUCUCCGGAAGCAAGGUCUUAAUGUCAACCAAAAUCUUUGAAUCUAGAAUUUGCCGUCGCGGGAGUCUCAUUCUCAUUGAUUUGAUGGAGGCCUCAAGGCAAAAUUGAAGAAGAAAAAAUACACACGAAUGAAUGGUAGAACGGUCCCUCGAAUCGUAUUCGACGACUUCGGUUUGCUCCCAUGUCCAUCGUGGCCUAGCUACGAACUCCGUUCGACUCUUGCGCCAAACGAUUCACUCGAUUCGCUCCUCACUGCUAAAGCUACCAAGAUGCACGACGUUCUCGGUUCUAGUCAAGAUAGAAGCCCAACUCGGCGUUCAAGUGGAUUCCGGUGAAGAACCUGUGAGGAACGUAAACAUUGCCGUCGGUUUUCUUGAGGGGAGACGGCUUUCAGGGGAUUUACCGAUUUAAAAGGCUUGUUUGGAUGGAAUGGAUCAUCCAUCCAGAGGGGAGCAAGUUCUAAUGAGAUGUCUGUUUGUGAAUUGUGUUCCGGUUCUGUUUCGGAUCACAGAGACGUCUUUGUUUGUCCUCAUUUUGAGCUCUUUCAAUUGAGCCGAGACAGAUCUUUAUUGACAAAUGUUGUUCUUUUCAACAUUGAAAAUGGGAUGUCGUCGUCAAAAGAUCCUGUCUGCUAUGGAUCCAAGAAACGAGUUCCAACAAUACAUGGUUUACAGUUUUGUUCA